UACGAAGGGGGCUAGCGUUGCUCGGAACCACUGGGCGUAAAGCGCACGUAGGCGGCUUUCUAAGUCAGGGGUGAAAUCCUGGAGCUCAACUCCAGAACUGCCUUUGAUACUGGAGAGCUUGAGUCCGGGAGAGGUGAGUGGAACUCCGAGUGUAGAGGUGAAAUUCGUAGAUAUUCGGAAGAACACCAGUGGCGAAGGCGACUUACUAGACGACUGUUGACGCUGAGGUGCGAAAGCGUGGGGAGCAAACAGG
This 253-nucleotide ribosomal RNA is filed under the name uncultured bacterium. RNAcentral describes it as "partial 16S ribosomal RNA". It matches the Rfam family "Bacterial small subunit ribosomal RNA", at positions 524 to 776 of the family's 1533-position model. The record is from RNAcentral.